AUCUUCCACAAUGGGCGAAAGCCUGAUGGAGCGACGCCGCGUGAAGGAUGAAGGUCUUCGGAUCGUAAACUUCUAAAAGAGGGACGAUAAUGACGGUACCUCUUGAAAAGCACCGGCUAACUCCGUGCCAGCAGCCGCGGUAAUACGGAGGGUGCUAGCGUUAUCCGGAAUCACUGGGCGUAAAGGGCGCGUAGGCGGUCUGUUAAGUCUGAUGUUAAAGACUGGGGCUCAACCCCAGCAAUGCGUUGGAUACUGGCAGACUCGACGGUUGGAGAGGCAAGUGGAAUUACCAGUGUAGCGGUGGAAUGCGUAGAUACUGGUAGGAACACCCAUUGCGAAGGCAGCUUGCUGGACAACACGUGACGCUGAGGCGCGAAAGUGUGGGGAGCAAACCGG
This 396-nucleotide ribosomal RNA is filed under the name uncultured bacterium. Its description in RNAcentral is "bacterial SSU rRNA". It matches the Rfam family "Bacterial small subunit ribosomal RNA", at positions 361 to 776 of the family's 1533-position model. The record is from RNAcentral.